Non-coding RNA from Paramormyrops kingsleyae, 791 nucleotides. The record is from RefSeq and is a predicted model, not a curated record. Lineage: Eukaryota; Metazoa; Chordata; Actinopteri; Osteoglossiformes; Mormyridae.
AGCUGCUUGUUUGUAUUGGAGGCUUAAUUUGUACUUUGUUUGUAUAAAGAAAAGGACUGUUAUAUCAAUAUAUUUGCAUUCCUUGGGGAGCGCAGCAAGUUUUCACGGUGCUAAAAUGCCUGACGAGACGGAUAGAGUUGUCGCUGUCUGAGACUUCAAAUAAAGGGAAAAACUUAAGCACCUGUCGAGACUCUCUGGGACCCAAGGGGCUGCAACAUACCCUAUAAAAGUGGCAGUGGUUGGCUGGGGACCUAACGCUGGCAAGGUGUUCUUCUGGUUACCUGACUUCGCUGUGGUUAAAGGUACUGUAUGCAGUGGGCUGUUCUGCGGCUUUCCUUGCUGUUGUAGGUCACACCCGUGGCUGGUUGAAUUUAUUGUUUAUUGUUAUAUGCUCUAUUACAGCUGCGGUCUGGAUUGCCUGCCCUACAGUUGCUGCUGCUUUGCCUCUUUUUCUGUAUUGUGAAUGUGGGGAUUGGUGGAUUGUAAUUCCCUGUUAACUGGUUCUUCCAGGUUUAAUUGCCUAGGGUGAGGGUUUUUAUUAAAUGUGUUUAAGACUGUUUUGGGUUGGUACGCCACUAGGGAGGAAGGGAACUUUGAUGUGGUGGCGUUUUGUGUUGUGCGCAGCAGCAGGGCAGUAGUACGUGUGCAUGGGAAUUGUAAUGCUUUUGUUCCAGGAUGCCAUCUUCUGACUGCUUUACCUCCCUAUCCUGUGUGUACCAGCCCUGAGGUUUUAUUUUGUAGUGUGGAUGGUGUUUUAUUAUUGUGAUUGUUAAUAAAAGAUUGUAAGUGGA